Molecule: ribosomal RNA, 253 nt
Filed under: uncultured bacterium
Lineage: Bacteria
Also listed under: 2 other names
Description: partial 16S ribosomal RNA
Rfam family: Bacterial small subunit ribosomal RNA
Source: RNAcentral
UACGGAGGGGGCCAGCGUUGUUCGGAAUCAUUGGGCGUAAAGGGCGCGUAGGCGGCUUGGUAAGUCCGUUGUGAAAUCCCUCGGCUCAACCGAGGAACUGCGACGGAUACUGCUUGGCUUGAGUCCCGGAGAGGGUAGCGGAAUUCCCAGUGUAGCGGUGAAAUGCGUAGAUAUUGGGAGGAACAUCGGUGGCGAAGGCGGCUACCUGGACGGGUACUGACGCUGAUGCGCGAAAGCUAGGGGAGCAAACAGG